Molecule: ribosomal RNA, 465 nt
Filed under: Vreelandella stevensii
Lineage: Bacteria; Pseudomonadati; Pseudomonadota; Gammaproteobacteria; Oceanospirillales; Halomonadaceae
Description: partial 16S ribosomal RNA
Rfam family: Bacterial small subunit ribosomal RNA
Source: RNAcentral
CCUACGGGUGGCAGCAGUGGGGAAUAUUGGACAAUGGGCGAAAGUCUGAUCCAGCCAUGCCGCGUGUGUGAAGAAGGCCUUCGGGUUGUAAAGCACUUUCAGUGGGGAAGAAAGCCUUGGGGCUAAUACCCUCGAGGAAGGACAUCACCCACAGAAGAAGCACCGGCUAACUCCGUGCCAGCAGCCGCGGUAAUACGGAGGGUGCGAGCGUUAAUCGGAAUUACUGGGCGUAAAGCGCGCGUAGGCGGUCUGAUAAGCCGGUUGUGAAAGCCCCGGGCUCAACCUGGGAACGGCAUCCGGAACUGUCAGGCUAGAGUGCAGGAGAGGAAGGUAGAAUUCCCGGUGUAGCGGUGAAAUGCGUAGAGAUCGGGAGGAAUACCAGUGGCGAAGGCGGCCUUCUGGACUGACACUGACGCUGAGGUGCGAAAGCGUGGGUAGCAAACAGGAUUAGAUACCCCGGUAGUC